Prionailurus viverrinus (fishing cat) is the source of this 3280-nucleotide RNA transcript. It is a transcript of the gene named retinol dehydrogenase 13, with no coding region annotated. The transcript is spliced from 9 exons. NCBI's taxonomy places the organism in Eukaryota, Metazoa, Chordata, Mammalia, Carnivora, Felidae. The record is from RefSeq and is a predicted model, not a curated record.
GACGGCCUGGCCUUCCCCACGUGGGUCGCGGGCUGAGCGGUCCCAGGGGCGACCCAGCGGCUUGUCUGGGGGAGGGAGGGGGGCUCCGCGUCCGACCCCCGCUCCUACCCGGCAUGAACCGCUACCUCCUGCCGCUCUCCGUGCUGGGCACGGUGGCGGGUGGCGCCGUGCUGCUCCGAGACUAUGUUGCCGGAGGGUCCUGUCCCAGCAAGGCCACCAUUCUCGGGAAGACCGUCAUUGUGACCGGCGCCAACACGGGCAUCGGGAAGCAGACCGCCUUGGAGCUGGCCAAAAGAGGAGGCAACAUCAUUCUGGCCUGUCGGGACAUGGAGAAGUGCGAAGCAGCAGCAAGGGACAUUCGCAGGGAGACCCUUAAUCACCACGUCAGCGCCCGGCACCUGGACUUGGCCUCCCUCAAGUCCAUCCGAGAGUUCGCGGCGAAGAUCACCGAAGAGAAAGAGCGCGUGCACAUCCUGAUCAACAACGCGGCUGUGAUGCGGUGCCCCCACUGGACCACCGAGGACGGCUUCGAGAUGCAGUUUGGCGUUAACCACCUGGGUCACUUUCUCUUGACGAACUUGCUGCUGGACACACUGAAAGCCUCGGCCCCUUCGCGGAUCGUCAACCUCUCGUCCUUGGCCCACGUCGCAGGUCACGUGGACUUUGAUGACUUGAACUGGGAGAAGAGGACGUACGACACUAAAGCGGCUUAUUGCCAGAGCAAGCUGGCCGUCGUCCUGUUUACCAAGGAGCUGAGCCGGCGGCUGCAGGGCACGGGUGUGACUGUCAACGCUCUGCACCCCGGCGUGGCCAGGACGGAGCUGGGCAGACACACGGGCAUGCACAGCUCUGCCUUCUCCAGCUUCACGCUCGGGCCCAUCUUCUGGCUGCUGGUCAAGAGCCCCCAGCUGGCAGCCCAGCCCAGCACGUACCUGGCCGUGGCAGAGGAACUGGAGGGCGUUUCUGGAAAGUACUUUGAUGGAUUCAAAGAGAAGCCUCCAGCCCCUGAAGCUGAGGAUGAGGAGGUAGCCCAGAGGCUUUGGGCUGAAAGUGCCCGCCUGGUGGGCUUGGAGCUGUCCGGGGGUUCCUCUCCUCAUUGAGGGGACAGCCCCUCCCAGAAUAACCUUUGGGAGCAGGUGUCAAAAGCACGCGGGAGGCUGAAUCACCUGGAUGCCGCAGCCAGACCAAGGCUGGCUGCUCUGUCUGCAGCACCCUCUAGGUGGCAGUGUUUGCCAAGGAAUUCUGGCUGCCACGCCUACGCCACCCUCUAGGUGGCAGUGUUGGCCGUGUGAGCCUCAAGACCAAGGCUGUUGUGCGCGCAGCGCCCCCUAGGUGGCAGUAUUGCUCAAGGACCAAUGGCCGCUACGUCCACACCAUCCGGUAGGGAUCCCUCGUGGCUCUUGCCUCCUCUCAGGCACAGUGGACCCGGCUGCAGGUGCACACCUGGCCCAUCGGCCGGCAGGGGCACGGGGCCAUCAGACGCCUGCCUUGUGCAUGUCACUGGGAGCUGCUGAGGGAGGAGUCCGCUCCCUCUGCUGUGGCCGCGGCAGGAGAGCCAAUGACGGCCACGGUGCCGAACUGUACACCCCUGGGAAAGCUGUCAGCCCGACAGGAUCAAGUUCAUGGUUCCCUGCGGGACCGUGCACACCCGCAGUCACCUCUCCGAGCCUCGGUUUCUCCCACUGUAGAAUGUGCAGAAUAACUUGACUACCUCCUAGGAUGGUAUGGUGGUGGGUGAGUUAUCGCCCGGCGUGGUGAGUGGCAGCUGUGUGUUCCUUGCUGGCACCAAAAAGCUCGGUAAUCAAGAUACGAAUACUUUAACAUUAAAAAAAUGUGACAUUUGAGGUACGUGGGGAGCCCAGGGAUGCCGUUCCAUGUCCACAGAACAGCGCAUGAUCGUGCCCCAGAUGCCAACGAUGCCGAGGGAGGGAGUGGAAAGGCAUUAAAGACGGCCCAAAGCCUUAGAAGUACAGUUAGUUUUCUUUCUGUUACCACAUCAGACCACAACAGCCGAAGGGUAUGUUUGGGAUGAACGGACUCCGGUUGGCACCUUCCAGCACGGACCCCAACGAUCCCCAUCUCCCCCUGUUCAUGUCCUUCUUACCCUCUGAGAGAGGGCUGGACCUAGCUACUCACUUCCAGCAAAAAGAAUGCAGCCAAGCUGACGGAACAGCCGGUUCUGUGGUCAGGCUACUGAUCGGCAUCUGUCGUGCUGGCCCUCGCCCUGCCUCGCCGAGAGGAGCUGUGAGCUGUCCUGUGCAGACAUCCCAGUGGCCGGGAUGGCCAGAGAGGAACUGAGGACUCAGUGCAGCAAUCCAGGAGCAGGCAGCAGGCACGUGGAGGUGAUUCGAGCAAGACCAACCAGACCCUCUCCCUGAAUCUGGAUCUCGAUGGGGCUGACACCAAGACCGAUAAGGGAACUUGGUGAGGCUAUUCGGCCUGCCCAGUGAUCCGGGACCACCUCUCUCCUUCACAACAGCUCAAGAGCAACAAUUCCAUCUGCCCCCUCGAUGCCCCUUUGCCACGUAAAGUAACAGGUUCUCGGGAUUUGGGGCAGCCACCGUUCUCCCUGGCGCCCCAUCCUCUCCAAAACCCGCUUCCUCGGCUUUUCCCAGGACCAUGACCUUCCCUGACACUUCCCAUCAAGUCCUCCUGUUUCUAUUAAAGCAAAAUUGGCAUCGGUUGGAAGAGUGUGAGGCUCCUGAUCUUGGGGCUGUGAAUUUGAGCUCCACUUUGGGCGUAGAGUUGACUUAAAACCAACCGGCCAACCAGCCAAUGAACCCUGGAGUGCCUUAGCAAGAAGAGUUGGAAUCCAGUCUGAUGCAGAAGCCCACAUUCGUGGCAGGGGGCCACAGGCCUAAAUGGAAAGAGCGUGAAGGCCAGCCCACUGGGGUGGCCGCUCCCACAAGAACCUAGCUCUUAUGGAGACAAGUCCAACUCGGCCCGGGGUUGAUUCUAGCCACAAACCCUCACAAGCAACAUCCGCUUCCUUUCGGGAACUGAGAAGCCACAAGGACCGCAGGCGUUGACUCACAAAUAACGUAACCCCCGCUACUUUACUGAAAGCCUUGAGGUGAUUCAUAACUCUAAACAUAGCCCCCAGAUAGAUGAAAGAUGAUCAAAACUGGCCUAGAAAAACUUCAAACCCACACAAGUCCACAGAGAGGAUGGUGGCAACAUAAUAAGCAGACUGAAGAACGAAUCAUGAGGGUAAUGCUUUGGGGAUGUUUUUUUGUUUUGUUGUUUUUUUAAAAUUUAAUUUAUUUAUUUUUUUAAUUUU